Molecule: ribosomal RNA, 404 nt
Filed under: uncultured bacterium
Lineage: Bacteria
Description: bacterial SSU rRNA
Rfam family: Bacterial small subunit ribosomal RNA
Source: RNAcentral
UGGGGAAUAUUGGACAAUGGGCGCAAGCCUGAUCCAGCAAUGCCGCGUGAGUGAUGAAGGCCUUAGGGUUGUAAAGCUCUUUUACCAGGGAUGAUAAUGACAGUACCUGGAGAAUAAGCUCCGGCUAACUCCGUGCCAGCAGCCGCGGUAAUACGGAGGGAGCUAGCGUUGUUCGGAAUUACUGGGCGUAAAGCGCACGUAGGCGGCUACUCAAGUCGGGGGUGAAAGCCCGGGGCUCAACCCCGGAACUGCCCUCGAAACUAGGUAGCUAGAAUCUUGGAGAGGUCAGUGGAAUUCCGAGUGUAGAGGUGAAAUUCGUAGAUAUUCGGAAGAACACCAGUGGCGAAGGCGACUGACUGGACAAGUAUUGACGCUGAGGUGCGAAAGCGUGGGGAGCAAACAGG